Molecule: ribosomal RNA, 577 nt
Filed under: uncultured bacterium
Lineage: Bacteria
Description: bacterial SSU rRNA
Rfam family: Bacterial small subunit ribosomal RNA
Source: RNAcentral
CCGUUCAAUACUGCGGAGCUCGAGGGCAGAAGAGGGGGGUGGAAUUGCUGGUGUAGUGGUGAAAUGCGUAGAUAUCAGCAGGAACACCUGUGGCGAAAGCGGCCCCCUGGUCUGCUCCUGACACUCAGACGCGGAAGCUAGGGGAGUGAACGGGAUUAGAAACCCCGGUAAUCCUAGCCGUAAACGAUGGAUGCUAGGUGUGGGUGGUAUUGACCCCAUCCGUGCCGAAGCCAACGCGUUAAGCAUCCCGCCUGGGGACUACGGCCGCAAGGUUAAAACUCAAAGGAAUUGACGGGGACCCGCACAAGCAGCGGAGCGUGUGGUUUAAUUCGAUGCUACACGAAGAACCUUACCCAGGUUUGACAUGCAGGUAGUAGUGAAGCGAAAGCGGAACGAUCCUUCGGGAAGCCUGCACAGGUGCUGCAUGGCUGUCGUCAGCUCGUGCCGUGAGGUGUUUGGUUAAGUCCACUAACGAGCGCAACCCCUGUCGUCAGUUACAUGUGUCUGGCGAGACUGCCGGUCUUAAACCGGAGGAAGGUGGGGAUGACGUCAAGUCAGCAUGGCCUUUAUAUCUGGG